CGGACGCAGAGACCGAGCGCCUAAUGUGGCCAGCGGACCUACUGCUCCCCGGACCCAGGAACUACCCGAAGCCCGCGCGGACCCACAGACCACCCCCAGCUCCGCCCCGCGAGGCCCCGCCUCUUCAUGCAACCUAAAAGUAACCAACUCCCCCCACGCGAAGGUUCCUAUCGGUCGACGGGCUGUGGGUGUAUUGCUCAGUGACGGCUUCGUUUAGUUUCUCCCAGCACCCAUAAUUCAAAGCAAGAACAACGACAUUAUGAGGAGAAAACGUCCUUUUGUGAAACAGAAGGCAAUCCACCCCAUUAGUAAACCCCAUCAAUUUUGCCUUCAGAAUAUAUCCAGAUUCUUCCCAAUUCUACCGCCACCAUUCUGGUUCAAGCUACC
This 387-nucleotide long non-coding RNA is filed under the name Pan troglodytes (chimpanzee). RNAcentral's name for it is "long non-coding RNA NONPTRT015179". Lineage: Eukaryota; Metazoa; Chordata; Mammalia; Primates; Hominidae. The record is from RNAcentral.